Scylla paramamosain (green mud crab) is the source of this 573-nucleotide long non-coding RNA. RefSeq lists it as uncharacterized. The transcript is spliced from 3 exons. The record is from RefSeq and is a predicted model, not a curated record. NCBI's taxonomy places the organism in Eukaryota, Metazoa, Arthropoda, Malacostraca, Decapoda, Portunidae.
AAUGCUGAGUUUCUAGACAAUAUUGAGAAAGGAGAGGCUGGAAUAUCAUUGCCAGUAUACACAGAACGUGCUGAUAUAGCGGUUGUUUUGCCUGGUAAUAUUCUAGUCGGCAGUGGACCUUAAGAUUCAUGGUUUUGUUGGUAACGCACUACCGGCAGACUUCCCACUCCAUACUUGUGCGCAUAUCUUGAGGGACAGAGACCCAGUGAAGAUGAGAGCGUUAUAUAUUUCUUUGUUGCCUCAUCGCCUUCGUGUGGUCAUCCCGCGUCACCCACGCUAACUUAUGGGAGAGGCAGACACUUACCUGUAGUGAGCACGGGUGUUGAGGAUGAAGCUGGGAGGCCUGGAUCAUAUCGUCCAGGGUGUCGUUCAAGGUGUCUAAGCUGUCCUCGCUGUCCUCCUCCUCCUUACCAGGGCUUUCCUUGUUGUCAGAGACAGUUUCCCCAGUCUCAGAGCAGUUCAGUCCAACAAAUUUCAAGGCUUCAUCAAGGUUGAAGUCAAGAUUGAAGUCUGGUACUGUCUCAUUGAGGGUGAAGGACGGAGAGUUAAGAGGAGACACAGAGUCAAGGGUCA